GGCUGGUCCAAAGGCAGUGAGUUAUCUCACUUGAUCACAGUCAGUUACAGAUUGAACUUUGUUCUACUCUUUCCCCCCUUCUCUCUCACUACUGCACUUGACAAGUCUUAA
Unclassified non-coding RNA from Otolemur garnettii (small-eared galago), 111 nucleotides. It matches the Rfam family "Y RNA". Rfam says of the family: Y RNAs are components of the Ro ribonucleoprotein particle (Ro RNP), in association with Ro60 and La proteins. The Y RNAs and Ro60 and La proteins are well conserved, but the function of the Ro RNP is not known. In humans the RNA component can be one of four small RNAs -- hY1, hY3, hY4 and hY5. The record is from Ensembl. Lineage: Eukaryota; Metazoa; Chordata; Mammalia; Primates; Galagidae.